Molecule: ribosomal RNA, 460 nt
Filed under: uncultured bacterium
Lineage: Bacteria
Description: partial 16S ribosomal RNA
Rfam family: Bacterial small subunit ribosomal RNA
Source: RNAcentral
CCUACGGGCGGCAGCAGUGAGGAAUAUUGGUCAAUGGGCGGAAGCCUGAACCAGCCAAGUCGCGUGAGGGAUUAAGGCCCUGCGGGUCGUAAACCUCUUUUGCCGGGGAGCAGUGGUCCGGACGCGUCCGGACCGGGAGAGUACCCGGAGAAAAAGCAUCGGCUAACUCCGUGCCAGCAGCCGCGGUAAUACGGAGGAUGCGAGCGGUAUCCGGAUUUAUUGGGUUUAAAGGGUGCGUAGGCGGGCAUUUAAGCCGGCGGUCAAAUGUCGGGGCUAAACCCCGGCCUGCCGUCGGAACUGGGUGCCUUGAGUACAGUAGAGGUGGGUGGAAUUCGUGGUGUAGCGGUGAAAUGCUUAGAUAUCACGAAGAACUCCGAUUGCGAAGGCAGUUCACUGGACUGCAACUGACACUGAGGCUCGAAAGUGUGGGUAUCAAACAGGAUUAGAUACCCUUGUAGUC